This 44-nucleotide transfer RNA is filed under the name Orobanche owerinii. Its description in RNAcentral is "partial tRNA-Phe". Lineage: Eukaryota; Viridiplantae; Streptophyta; Magnoliopsida; Lamiales; Orobanchaceae. The record is from RNAcentral.
GUCGGGAUAGCUCAGUUGGUAGAGCAGAGGACUGAAAUUCUCGU